RNAcentral lists this long non-coding RNA (402 nucleotides) under Lepisosteus oculatus (spotted gar). Its description in RNAcentral is "lncRNA (ENSLOCG00000022046.1)". Lineage: Eukaryota; Metazoa; Chordata; Actinopteri; Semionotiformes; Lepisosteidae. The record is from RNAcentral.
GUUUGAGACUGCACAGCGGUGCCCAGCGCCGGGAACACUUUUGUAACGCAGUUCCAUUGAAAUGGCGAUCGACCCCUGGAACCCGCGAACGGAUCGGAAGACUUAACCCAGAGGGACUUCAGGAACGAGCACGAGACACAGUUACAGAACUGAGAGAAGAUACCUGGUGCAAAACUAACAUCAUGAAAACCACAGAAUCCAGCAAUGCAAUGCAUUAUAGAGUCCGGGGCAUGAUGUGGCCAGUGUGGAUCUCUCUGUGCCCUCACUCCCACUGAACAACAGCCCCCCAGAAUGCCAAGGAGCCCCCUGCCUGUGAGCCAAACCAAGCUGUCCCAGGAGACCAGCAAAGCACAGCCAGGAUGGUCAUGAGGUUAGUCAGAGGUCUUCUGUGAUACUAGCCCA